Molecule: small RNA, 130 nt
Filed under: Cydia pomonella (codling moth)
Lineage: Eukaryota; Metazoa; Arthropoda; Insecta; Lepidoptera; Tortricidae
Description: CpSAT1 satellite sequence transcript
Source: RNAcentral
UCUAGAUUGAUGGUGCUCAUCAGGGUAAAUCUAUUGAGCCCAAACUCGAUGGAGUUAUGAUGAGUAGAUUAGGAGUUCUGGGGAGUUCUGGUGACCAACUCCUGACUCCAUCAUGAGACCCUGAACAUCA